UCAUUCUUCACAUAGAUUCUAGAAUAUACUCGAUCUAGAGAUCUCUCUCGCUUCCCUUUCUCUGCUUCUGGCCUCCCUUACUGCUGUUCAAUUCUGAUCAUCGUUCUCAAUUUCUCUGCUUUUGUUCGAGUUUGUCUUUGGUGUUUCUGUAUUUCUAAGUUAGUAUAUGAUAAGUUUUUCUUCUCUUUUCUCCCGACUUUUCUCCACUCUCUUUUCUUCAAUGUUUCAAAUUCUUGGAAACAGAACUAUAAUGGUUGUUAUUUUUGUUCCUUUUUAAAUUUUUAGGUGUGCGUAUCAACAAUUGUAUGUUAUUUGCUCAUGUAUGUUUGAAAAUAGAAAUAGAUACCUAUAUGAUUUUGGUUAUUUGAAAUGAAUCAAAAUCCGGCUUUGCUCGAUAAUUAAAACUAAUUAGUAGCAUUUUUCCUCUUCAAAGUUAUGAAAUUGACAACAAAUUAUUUGAUUUAAUUUCAGUGAUGUUCUGUUCUUUUUCUCUUUGUUAAUCGGUAGGUGACAUUCAUUUAACUGGGUGUCCAAAUCUGGUUGUGCUGGUGGAUUUUCAAGGUUCAUAGUUCUUAUUGAAUAAUGGUUUGCCUUAUAUAAUGUGUUUCUCUUAGUUUUUUAGCAUUCUAAAAAGUAUUUUGUUUUCCUCUGCUUUUUCUAUUUUCGGCCUGACGAGUACUUUGGGUAAUAUUCAUGUUACUGCUUUAGCAUUGCAACAUCAUUAUGCACAAAAUGCGUGUAAGCUAUAUGAUUAUAUGCUUAAAACAACUGAAUUAAUUUUUUUGGACGCUUUUUUUUUUUUUGGCAGGUCCUACAAAGUACAUUUUUUUCCACUUCUAAUGGAUAGUAUUGGUAUGUGUAUGUGUGGCAUUUAUGUUGACAUAUUCUAUUUGCUUGCAUUUGUAUUUCUAUUGCACUCUUGCUAAUAUUGCUCCAACUUUAUGGUUUCAAGAAAGAUUAGAUAUUUAAAUCAUAAGAGUAUUCGGAAAAGAAAUGAUCAGAGUCCAAGACACUGCAAAAGAAAGUGAUGUUUGGUUUAUGCCUUUAACGUUUGACUUAAUGUCUUUCUUUCAAAUUUUACAUGUAUUCUCUCCAUUAAAAUUGGAAUGUGAUAUUCCGUUUAUGCCUUUAGCGAUGGAGACUAUUCAGUUCUAGGUGGCUUUUUGAUUUUUGCUAUGUUUCCUCCCUCUCUUUGACAUUGCUUAUGGUAGUUAUAGCUAUAACUUUAUUAACACAUAGAUAUAUGUAGUAGGAAUUUCUUCACAGUAUUGGUUGUUUCCAUGUAUACAAUACAUUUUUCCUUAUGUACUUGCGUGUAAUAUCAGGUUCAUAUAAACGAAUUUUAGUGGUUCUGGGAUUCCGCACUGUACACAUCCAAGAUGUUUGAUCGUAUGCGUGAAAACCACUAACCAAAUUUGUUGUGUUUCCCUUUCAGCAUAUUUACCAAAACAUUCUACUCCAUCAAUCAAUAACUCAAAAGGUAUGUUAUUAUAUCUUCCGAAAUGCAAAAAGACCAAAUUUCAAUGGUCUGGGAUACUUGGAUCUUGUGCUUUUUGUUUAUGAAGCUAAAAGUUUGGUCUAUCUAAGAAAUUCAAGCUUUGAAAAAUUAUUUCUUGGUUGGAGUAGUGAUGCAUCUGCAGUUUUCCUAAUAUUCAGUUCUUGACGUAUCUGAAUCAGCAGCUCUUUUAAAAAUUAACCUUACAAUAACGUCUGUGCUUAUUCAAGUAAUAACGAAUUUACUUGAAUGAUCUUUUCCUCUUCAUAUAGGUUGUUUAGCUUGCACCUACAGUAAUAUAAACAUUUACAAUAUAAUUACAAUAUGAGAUACGUGGUCGAACAUAUGUUAGUCCCCUGCAUAUUGAGAUAUUAAAUUACUACUAAUUGAGUUGAGAGCACCUGAUUGUGGUAAAGAGAAGUCAUAGGACGGACAAACUAUGUUUUUAGCAGCUUUUAUUCUGGGGUAUUCAUUGUAGGAGAACCUUUUCUUACCUUGUACGAAAUACAAUUUUAUUUUUCCAAUGGAGAUUUAUCUAUAGAUCUUUACCACGUAGGUGCUUAUUGAUAUUCUAAAUGAUCAUAUUUCAGUGCAAGGUUUCAAGUUUCAAAUUUGACCUUUUCAUUCAUUUUGUGUUUAGGAAGUUACUUAGAAUUCAAUUGCUUUCUUUUAACUGGCCAUAAAUGCUAACAUUGCAGAAACAUUGGGAAUUUUCCUUUGUUGCUCAACUUUUGUAUGACUUACCAUGGUUUAGCCAGCCACUAAUUAAUAUAAUAAAUAUUUUGUUUAUACUUGCAUUUCUAUCCUUAAUGUAUUCAGAUGUUUCUUUGUAUAUAUAAAAUUACUUUACACUGCUUUCUUUCUUAAAUAAACGAAGAUGCGAGAUUUUCUAAGAAUUUUGCUUCGAUGAGGACGCUAAGGAAAAAAAAGAAGGCAUUUCAGCACUUUAAUGCUUCUGUUAUAACUGUUAAAGUGGUCCCGAGGAGAAUUAUUAUUAUCCUAUCCACACAUAUUGUGGUGGUAUAGAAAAAUCACGCAAAAAAAGCCAUCUUCCCUCUUUGUGUUUGUAUUUGUUAUACACCUACUCUUAGAAGCAUUUAGGCUUUAUAUAGACUUUACAUUUUCACUUUCAUUCCGUGUAUCUUUUCUUUGAUUUGGUGUGUGUGUUUUGAUGUUUGAGCUUUUGUGGAUUUGAUCUGCUGUUUUAGGUGGUGCAAUAUUGUUGAAAAUUUAGGUCUUACUUCAAAUUCUUAGAGAUUGAGAGAGACUUCACAGGUUUCCAAAUUGUAUUUCUUAUGAAAGUUUUUGGUCCCUUAAAGUUCUAGAUUUAUUGGCAGAAUAAUGCACUACUUUCUUUCAAGUAAUUUAAUAUCUUGAGGGAAUGUUAUGUUCUGCUAAGAUUUUGUCAAACAUCAAUAUAUAUAUAAGGAACAUCUUAUGUUGCAAAAUGUCUUGCCUAUGCUCAAACAAAGCAACUAUCUAAUAUCUGGGUUUAUGGAACUUUAGUUUUAGUAAUUGUGGCCUGUCUCUGCAUAUGGCUAUCUCUAUAGAUUCUAGCAUCGGGCUCUUUGUUUGCUAAGUUUCCUUUCUCAUUGAUAGCAAGUAACAAAAGUUGUAGUCUUUAUGUCCAUUCAUGUGAUUACAUAACUGGAAUAUGGAUCAUUGUCUAUUUGGUUUUCUCACCAUCAAUUCAUGUAAAGAGAAACACUGUAAAUUGCUUCUAUGAAAUGGUUCAGUAGGUAAGUUUAUUCUUCAAGAGUACCAUCCCUGAUUGGUCUUGAAAGAUGAAUUCUUUAGUAUUGGUAUGAAAUAGGCAUGAAUAGAAUAUAGGUUACAGAAAAUUCCACCAAUUGAUUCCAAGUUGUUUGCAGUUGAGGUGAAAUUUAUUUGAACUACAUUAAGAAUCUUUGUUGGGUUGCCUGUAGUUAAUUGUUAUGUCUUUUGAGACCAAUUUUGGUCCUUGAGUAGUCUGUCACUUUUUUUUCUUUAUCUAAAUUGAAUUGUACGAAAUUAUGAUUUAUCUCUGUAGCAUGUAGUAUGUUAGUCUGAAGAAGUUCUGUAUUACUAUAGAGGAUAAAAUCCAGGAAUUUGUCGAUAACCAUUUCUAUUAAACUAGCUGCUUUAGCAUCUUUCUAGCCUGCAUAUUCGUGGAACUCAAUCUCAUUUAGGAAACCUGAUCUCUAUCUUUCAGCAACUGAAUGGGAAGUCGAUGAAAGUCAAUUAUGUCAAAACGCACACCACUACUAUGACCCUGCGGCGCGAAAAUAAAAACCCUCAUCCUUUAUUCAACUGAUGGAAAAUAAAUGCCUCUUGAAGUGCAAGAAAGGUAUGUGCUAAUGUAUUUUUGGUCAAAACAACAUAAGGUUGUUUAGAAGGAAGUGACAAAAAAACUGGAGAGGAAUCCCCAAAAUCAAUUGUAGUAAUCUUAUUUUUCCGCAA
Lycium ferocissimum is the source of this 3934-nucleotide long non-coding RNA. RefSeq lists it as uncharacterized. Lineage: Eukaryota; Viridiplantae; Streptophyta; Magnoliopsida; Solanales; Solanaceae. The record is from RefSeq and is a predicted model, not a curated record. The transcript is spliced from 2 exons.